Molecule: ribosomal RNA, 253 nt
Filed under: uncultured bacterium
Lineage: Bacteria
Description: partial 16S ribosomal RNA
Rfam family: Bacterial small subunit ribosomal RNA
Source: RNAcentral
UACGUAGGGGGCGAGCGUUGUCCGGAAUCACUGGGCGUAAAGGGCGCGUAGGCGGCCUGAUAAGUCGGGGGUGAAAUCCUGCGGCUUAACCGCAGGGCUGCCUUCUAAACUGUCGGGCUUGAGCACAGUAGAGGCAGGUGGAAUUCCCGGUGUAGCGGUGGAAUGCGUAGAGAUCGGGAAGAACAUCAGUGGCGAAGGCGGCCUGCUGGGCUGUUGCUGACGCUGAGGCGCGACAGCGUGGGGAGCAAACAGG